GACGAACGCUGGCGGCGUGCCUAAUACAUGCAAGUCGAACGAACCGCGACUAAGUGCUUGCACUAAGUCAAGGUGAGUGGCGAACGGGUGAGUAACACGUGGGUAACCUACCUCAUAGUGGGGGAUAACAGUCGGAAACGACUGCUAAUACCGCAUAGGACAUAGGAUCACAUGAUCCAGUGAGGAAAGGUGGCGCAAGCUAUCGCUAAGAGAUGGACCCGCGGUGCAUUAGCUAGUUGGUAGGGUAAAGGCCUACCAAGGCGAUGAUGCAUAGCCGACCUGAGAGGGUGAUAGGCGACAUUGGGACUGAGACACGGACAAAACUCCUACGGGAGGCAGCAGUAGGGAAUCUUCCGCAAUGGACGCAAGUCUGACGGAGCAACGCCGCGUGAGUGAAGAAGGUCUUCGGAUCGUAAAGCUCUGUUGUUAGAGAAGAACAGCGCAUAGAGUAACUGCUAUGCGUGUGACGGUAUCUAAUCAGAAAGCCACGGCUAACUACGUG
Molecule: ribosomal RNA, 502 nt
Filed under: uncultured bacterium
Lineage: Bacteria
Description: partial 16S ribosomal RNA
Rfam family: Bacterial small subunit ribosomal RNA
Source: RNAcentral